RNAcentral lists this ribosomal RNA (253 nucleotides) under uncultured bacterium. RNAcentral's name for it is "partial 16S ribosomal RNA". It matches the Rfam family "Bacterial small subunit ribosomal RNA", at positions 524 to 776 of the family's 1533-position model. The record is from RNAcentral.
UACGUAGGGUGCGAGCGUUAAUCGGAAUUACUGGGCGUAAAGCGUGCGCAGGCGGUUCGUUAAGUCAGAUGUGAAAGCCCCGGGCUCAACCUGGGAACUGCAUUUGAAACUGGCGGGCUUGAGUGUGGCAGAGGGGGGUGAAAUUCCGCGUGUAGCAGUGAAAUGCGUAGAGAUGCGGAGGAACACCGAUGGCGAAGGCAGCCCCCUGGGCCAACACUGACGCUCAGGCACGAAAGCGUGGGGAGCAAACAGG